RNAcentral lists this ribosomal RNA (398 nucleotides) under Phlebiopsis gigantea. RNAcentral's name for it is "partial large subunit ribosomal RNA". It matches the Rfam family "Bacterial large subunit ribosomal RNA", at positions 1711 to 2106 of the family's 2925-position model. Lineage: Eukaryota; Fungi; Basidiomycota; Agaricomycetes; Polyporales; Phanerochaetaceae. The record is from RNAcentral.
UUCUCGGGCAAAAUAUCCUCAUAAGUUUGACGACAAGAGGGACCAGUAAUUUAUAAUUUAUUAUAUUCUACUGGUGGCACAGAAUCGGAGGCCCCGACUGUUUACUAAAAACACAAUUCAGAGCAAUGAUUAAUAUCAUAGUAUUCUGGAUGAAAUUUGCUCAAUGCCAUUAAUACAAGAGAGGUGAGGGAGACUGUUACUAAUCGAAAGUCUGGUGAAUAGCGGUCUUAACUAUGAGGAUCCUAAGGUAGCAAAAUAAAUUGGCCAUUAAAUGUGGUCCGGUAUCAGUAGUCCAACGAUGGUCUCGCUGUCUCUACAACUUGCUCAGUGAAAUUGAAUUACCCGUGAAGAUGCGGGUUGCCUCCAGGGGGACGGGAAGACCCUAUGCGCCUUUACUG